GGAAGGGUGCCAGAGUGGAUGAAUGGAACAGUCUUGAAAACUGUCGUGGUCGCAAGGUCACCGUGGGUUCGAAUCCCACCCCUUCCGCCA
RNAcentral lists this transfer RNA (90 nucleotides) under bacterium (Candidatus Howlettbacteria) CG23_combo_of_CG06-09_8_20_14_all_37_9. Its description in RNAcentral is "tRNA-Ser". It matches the Rfam family "tRNA". Rfam says of the family: Transfer RNA (tRNA) molecules are approximately 80 nucleotides in length. Their secondary structure includes four short double-helical elements and three loops (D, anti-codon, and T loops). The record is from RNAcentral.